RNAcentral lists this ribosomal RNA (476 nucleotides) under Nocardia sp. RNAcentral describes it as "bacterial SSU rRNA". It matches the Rfam family "Bacterial small subunit ribosomal RNA", at positions 233 to 721 of the family's 1533-position model. The record is from RNAcentral. Lineage: Bacteria; Bacillati; Actinomycetota; Actinomycetes; Mycobacteriales; Nocardiaceae.
GCGGCCUAUCAGCUUGUUGGUGAGGUAACGGCUCACCAAGGCGACGACGGGUAGCCGACCUGAGAGGGUGACCGGCCACACUGGGACUGAGACACGGCCCAGACUCCUACGGGAGGCAGCAGUGGGGAAUAUUGCACAAUGGGCGAAAGCCUGAUGCAGCGACGCCGCGUGAGGGAUGACGGCCUUCGGGUUGUAAACCUCUUUUGACAGGGACGAAGCGCAAGUGACGGUACCUGUAGAAGAAGCACCGGCCAACUACGUGCCAGCAGCCGCGGUAAUACGUAGGGUGCGAGCGUUGUCCGGAAUUACUGGGCGUAAAGAGCUUGUAGGCGGUCUGUCACGUCGAUUGUGAAAACUUGCAGCUCAACUUCAAGCUUGCAGUGGAUACGGGCAGACUAGAGUACUUCAGGGGAGACUGGAAUUCCUGGUGUAGCGGUGAAAUGCGCAGAUAUCAGGAGGAACACCGGUGGCGAAGG